RNAcentral lists this transfer RNA (86 nucleotides) under Oscillospiraceae bacterium. RNAcentral's name for it is "tRNA-Leu". It matches the Rfam family "tRNA". From Rfam's summary of the family: Transfer RNA (tRNA) molecules are approximately 80 nucleotides in length. Their secondary structure includes four short double-helical elements and three loops (D, anti-codon, and T loops). Further hydrogen bonds mediate the characteristic L-shaped molecular structure. tRNAs have two regions of fundamental functional importance: the anti-codon, which is responsible for specific mRNA codon recognition, and the 3' end, to which the tRNAs corresponding amino acid is attached (by aminoacyl-tRNA synthetases). tRNAs cope with the degeneracy of the genetic code in two manners: having more than one tRNA (with a specific anti-codon) for a particular amino acid; and 'wobble' base-pairing, i.e. permitting non-standard base-pairing at the 3rd anti-codon position. The record is from RNAcentral. Lineage: Bacteria; Bacillati; Bacillota; Clostridia; Eubacteriales; Oscillospiraceae.
GCCGGUGUGUUGGAAUGGUAGACGAGGCGGACUCAAAAUUCGUUGCGAGCGAUCGCGUGUGGGUUCGAAUCCCACCACCGGUACCA